Molecule: non-coding RNA, 113 nt
Organism: Acanthosepion pharaonis
Lineage: Eukaryota; Metazoa; Mollusca; Cephalopoda; Sepiida; Sepiidae
Source: the annotation of a GenBank genome assembly
UUACGGCCAUAUCAUGUUGAAACACUGAUUCCUGUAUGAUAACCAAAGUUAAGCAAUGUUGAGCCCAGUCAGUACCUAGAUGGGUGCCCACUUGGGUAUAUCAGGUGCUGUAA